GGCGUUGGGCGUCACCUCGGCCACCGGAGGGCGCGCUAUGACAGCGACGGGGUUUCCAACUGAGACUACAGCCUAGCAGUGUCCAAGGAAGAAGCCCAGGCCAGCCCUGCCAGGGGACCUCGAGGCCUGGCGCUCGCGCAGACCCCUAGCCCGACCUCCGGUCUGGUCCCCAGGGACAGCAAGGAGCAAGCAGGGCGGGCUGCACCUUAAGAGCAGCAUCGUCAAGGUACUGAACACCCCUCGUUGACAGUAUGCACUCAUUGAUAAGUAGAUAUUGACCAAAACCUCGAAUUACCCAAGAUGCAAUCAACAGAUCUCAGGAAACUCAAGAAGGAGGAUGACCAAAGUGCAGAUGCUCCCACUCCUUCUUAAAAUGGGGAACAAAAAUAUCCAUAGGAGGGGAUAUGGAGGCCAAAUCUAAAGCAGAGACUGAAGGAACAGCCAUUCAGAGUCUGCCCCACAUGUGGCCCAUAUGUAUACAGCCACCAAAACUAGGUUUUGGUAGGAAGGCAUCAUCCCAAAAUGUCAUCAGUAAGCAAGAGGAGUGUCUAAAGGAACUGGAGGAACUCAAAUUUGAAAUCCAGAAGUGUCAAUUCGAGAGGGAUGAACUUUAUCAAAUCCUGGAUCUUUAUAUCUAUGAUGAGUGGGACCACAGGUAGUCAUUAUGCCCAGUAACCUGUUCACUUUCUUGCGCUCACUAUGCUACCUCAAGAUUUACUAAUAGCACGAGAGAGUUUCACCUCUCAUCCUGGAUUUUAAGGAGAUUUGGCAGGCAUUUGCUUGUGAGAUAAGCUAGGUGCUGUGUGUUUAGGGUCAACCUCUUUUGUACUUGACCCUGAGCCUCUUGGAUUAGCGUUGGUUCUGUCAACAGCUAGAAGGACCUGGUCACCCUUGCUGCAACUGUGUGUGUGAAUGAAAUGCCUGCACGUCAUCACUCUUUCCUCUGAAUUUGUUCAUUAUACACUGAUUCUAUGGCACCUCCAUGGAUGUAGUUGGCAUUCUAAGUGUGUUUGGAUAUGGGUUGCUAUGUAUGUAUGUGGACGUAUAUGUGGUGUUUUACUCAGGAUCAGGAGGUCUGGGACCUUUGAUGGGGUCUGAGGAUUUGUUUGAUCAACAGUUUGCAGGUCAUGAUAGUGAUGAGUAUGUGGAGGCCCACAGAAUCAAACGAGCACUUUGCUCCUUCUGUAUACCUUGGUGGCACCCAGGACUCUCCCGAGGGUAGGAGGUGCUAUAAAUCCUCUUCCCUGUCAAACUUAGUUAUGCCCUCUGGGAAUUCAUGUAACAAUAGAAACCAAGGAUUGAGUAUACCUGCUUUCAAAACAAGAGAAAUGUCAUCACAGCUUUCUCUUGGGCCCAAAGCUGUGGCACAGACUGGAGGAAUCUUCUUCCUGAACUAGUCAAUUCCAUCAUGCUCACCUGGCCAGCUCUUGAAGGUCAGGUCCCUCAAAUUGGUACCGUGACUCUGUUGUCCUGUG
Rattus norvegicus (Norway rat) is the source of this 1475-nucleotide non-coding RNA. NCBI's taxonomy places the organism in Eukaryota, Metazoa, Chordata, Mammalia, Rodentia, Muridae. The record is from RefSeq and is a predicted model, not a curated record.